UCCAAAUUCAUUCUGUGUUCGUUUAUUGUACAAGUUAGUCAUAACUAAAAGUUAUUUUCUUAUUUUAUAAUUUUAGUUAUUUUGAGUAUCCCAAAAUUGUAACAAGUGCAUUAUUUUUGUAACGUCAAAAUCUAUCGAAAUACACUUGUCUACAAUCCAAUUUAGCAUGGCGUCCAACAAGCACACACCGAAUCAAACAAAGGAUUUUAGCAAUGCAACUGAUUUGUCAGACGUAUCCGAGGUUUUGAAAUCCUUGGGAAAAAUAAUUCGUCACGAAAUGGCAAAUGCAAUAAUGACUGAGGAAUUCAAGUCAAACGUAGCUGAAAAAAUACACUUGCGGAAGGAAUCCUCUGACGAUGGAUACGUAAAAAUUGACGACCUUCAAAAGGCCUUAAUGCAUAUAAAAACUGGAAAUCCUCAGCAGUCAGCUAUCCAAAGUAAUGCUACAAUAAUUGCCGAAUCAUUUACUAAUCUGAAGAAACAAUUGGUGAAAGUCGAAACAAGAUUGGAGGCCAUGGAGGAUCACUUGUUCAAUUUAGAGCAACGCAGCUAUGACCGUAAGAAGGCUCUUAUUCAACAGAUAGUGAAAACUGCAGUAAAGAAAAUCGAUAAAAAAGAUACUAAAGAUGUUUCCACUCAAGUGAAUUUCCCAAGUCGUGAAUACGACACCAUAGUUAUUUUGGAGCCACCAAUUGGAGAUACCUUCAUCAUUAGCGAUGGAACUUCUUCCAGCUCUAGCAGCACUUUAUCAUUUGAAGAGGCAACAUUAAUUGAAACAGAUAUGACACUGAGCGAUUGUUACAGGGCUAUGAAUAAAUUCAACAAACAUAUGCUUCGUAAGAGUAUUUCUGAAGGGGGGCUAGUAUAAGAUAUACGAGCAGCCGAGAGAAGUAAGACGGAAGCCACAGAUCCACGGGACAUUGUACAGAUUGACAAAGAUUAUCCAGAAUUUAGAAGUAUAAAAAAGUUGUAUAAAGUGUGCCUUGAGCCUUAAGUCAAAAUAUAACAGACUAAUGUCACAUUACGAUAGGGAGAUUCGAUAUUAUACAUAAUAUUGGAGAUAUGUCUACAAGUAGGAAAAGGUCCAACGAAACAUCCAAAGCAAACAACACAGGAACUACCACACCAAAGAAAUCCCAUACGAAGCAUAAAAAUGGUUCUUUAGACAAAUCUGUUUUGUCUGAUAAAUUGAUCUCCAACGAUUUUAAGAAUGAACAUGAAGUGUGUGACUGCGCCAAUGUGACAAUAAAGGACCUCAACAAGGCUGUAGACGAAAUUUUCUCAAAAAAUACUAUUGAAAGUGCCCUAGAACGUAAUGCUAAUUUAUUUGCCGAGUCGAUUUUGGAUCUGCAGGAACGCGUAAUAGUGGUCGAGGCGAAAAUAGAAUCACUUGAGGAUCGCAUGGAGGAGGUGGAACAACUUGCACAUAUAAGGCACCAGAGGCACAUUGAACGGGUCGUGCGAAAAAUAAUGAAGGAAUUUCCAGAGUGUCCCAAACAGAUGACGGAACUAGGAGUUACAGAUCAUACAAAAGAUUUAAACAGCAAGCGGCAAUUUGAUGAGGGCGAUAACAAGGCAUCCGAGCAGAAAACAAUCGAUGUAAGGCAAGCAAAGAAAAAUGUUUGCCAAUUUCCAGUAGUUACAAAAGAUGAUAGAUUCUGCAAGUUGGAAUCGCGAAAGGUCUGUGCUUGCACUCCAAAUUACAAGAAUGAAGGAACUAACGAAAAGAAGUUAAGCCGCUCAAAGACUACUAUGAUCCCGCAAAGGAAGAAUUCAUAGCAUUUAAUCGUAGUCAAUUUAGAUUUCUAUGCUUAAAACGAACUGAAUUUGACAAUUCUUUAACAAUUCAAAAGAGAAACUUCUUACCUCAUUGACUACGCUGUAAUUCUACCAAAUUUUGAUUAUAUUUAUGAUUUCUUAGCUGCAAUGUUAGAGUAACAAAAAAAUUAAAAUGUAAUAUUCAACUGGA
Molecule: RNA transcript, 1969 nt
Organism: Drosophila willistoni
Lineage: Eukaryota; Metazoa; Arthropoda; Insecta; Diptera; Drosophilidae
Exons: 3
Source: RefSeq, a predicted model, not a curated record